Molecule: ribosomal RNA, 253 nt
Filed under: uncultured bacterium
Lineage: Bacteria
Description: partial 16S ribosomal RNA
Rfam family: Bacterial small subunit ribosomal RNA
Source: RNAcentral
UACGAAGGGGGCUAGCGUUGCUCGGAAUCACUGGGCGUAAAGCGCACGUAGGCGGCUUCUUAAGUCAGGGGUGAAAUCCUGGAGCUCAACUCCAGAACUGCCCUUGAUACUGAGGAGCUCGAGUCCGGAAGAGGUGAGUGGAACUCCGAGUGUAGAGGUGAAAUUCGUAGAUAUUCGGAAGAACACCAGUGGCGAAGGCGGCUCACUGGUCCGGUACUGACGCCGAGGUGCGAAAGCGUGGGGAGCAAACAGG